RNAcentral lists this unclassified non-coding RNA (21 nucleotides) under Dictyostelium discoideum. Lineage: Eukaryota; Evosea; Eumycetozoa; Dictyosteliales; Dictyosteliaceae. The record is from RNAcentral.
AUAACUCUAUUUCCUUCUCUC